This 133-nucleotide small nuclear RNA is filed under the name Rhodnius prolixus. RNAcentral describes it as "U4 spliceosomal RNA". It matches the Rfam family "U4 spliceosomal RNA". From Rfam's summary of the family: U4 small nuclear RNA (U4 snRNA) is a component of the major U2-dependent spliceosome. The structure of U4 snRNA from yeast and human has been reported. Lineage: Eukaryota; Metazoa; Arthropoda; Insecta; Hemiptera; Reduviidae. The record is from Rfam by way of RNAcentral.
GUCCUUGCGCAGUGGCAAUAUCGUAAACUAAUGAAGGUCUCCUGAGGUGCGAUUAUUGCUAGUUGAAAACUAGGUGCCACGAUAGCCGAGCGGUUAGAGGCGAGACCUGUGAAGCUAAUAUGUAUUGUGGUAC